UAAACUUCUUUUAUUAAGGACGAAGAAAGUGACGGUACUUAAUGAAUAAGCUCCGGCUAACUACGUGCCAGCAGCCGCGGUAAUACGUAGGGAGCAAGCGUUGUCCGGAUUUACUGGGUGUAAAGGGUGCGUAGGCGGCUUUGCAAGUCAGAUGUGAAAUCUAUGGGCUCAACCCAUAGCCUGCAUUUGAAACUGCAGAGCUUGAGUGAAGUAGAGGCAGGCGGAAUUCCCCGUGUAGCGGUGAAAUGCGUAGAGAUGGGGAGGAACACCAGUGGCGAAGGCGGCCUGCUGGGCUUUAACUGACGCUGAGGCACGAAAGCGUGGGUAGCAAACAGGAUUAGAUACCCUGGUAGUCCACGCUGUAAACGAUGAUUACUAGGUGUGGGGGGUCUGACCCCUUCCGUGCCGGAGUUAACACAAUAAGUAAUCCACCUGGGGAGUACGGCCGCAAGGUUGAAACUCAAAGGAAUUGACGGGGGCCCGCACAAGCAGUGGAGUAUGUGGUUUAAUUCGAAGCAACGCGAAGAACCUUACCAGGUCUUGACAUCCUACUAACGAGAUAGAGAUAUGU
Molecule: ribosomal RNA, 571 nt
Filed under: uncultured bacterium
Lineage: Bacteria
Description: bacterial SSU rRNA
Rfam family: Bacterial small subunit ribosomal RNA
Source: RNAcentral